CCUACGGGAGGCAGCAGUGAGGAAUAUUGGUCAAUGGGCGAGAGCCUGAACCAGCCAAGUCGCGUGAAGGAUGAAGGAUCUAUGGUUUGUAAACCUCUUUUAUAAGGGAAUAAAGUGUGGGACGUGUCCUGUUUUGUAUGUACCUUAUGAAUAAGGAUCGGCUAACUCCGUGCCAGCAGCCGCGGUAAUACGGAGGAUCCGAGCGUUAUCCGGAUUUAUUGGGUUUAAAGGGUGCGUAGGCGGCCUUUUAAGUCAGCGGUGAAAGUCUGUGGCUCAACCAUAGAAUUGCCGUUGAAACUGGGAGGCUUGAGUAUGUUUGAGGCAGGCGGAAUGCGUGGUGUAGCGGUGAAAUGCUUAGAUAUCACGCAGAACCCCGAUUGCGAAGGCAGCCUGCCAAGCCAUGACUGACGCUGAUGCACGAAAGCGUGGGGAUCAAACAGGAUUAGAUACCCUGGUAGUC
This 460-nucleotide ribosomal RNA is filed under the name uncultured bacterium. RNAcentral describes it as "partial 16S ribosomal RNA". It matches the Rfam family "Bacterial small subunit ribosomal RNA", at positions 338 to 795 of the family's 1533-position model. The record is from RNAcentral.